RNAcentral lists this ribosomal RNA (825 nucleotides) under Triticum aestivum (bread wheat). RNAcentral's name for it is "partial small subunit ribosomal RNA". The record is from RNAcentral. Lineage: Eukaryota; Viridiplantae; Streptophyta; Magnoliopsida; Poales; Poaceae.
AUGUGUGGACAUGAAAAUGAAACUCUGUUUCACUCACUGAUGGAGUGUGACCAUGCGGUAUGGUUCUGGGAGGCGGCGGAGCGCUUCUUUGAUAUUCGUAUCCCAAGGCUACACCCGAUGACAUGGUCGAGGGACCUGCUCGAUCAUGAGCUGUUUAAGCAAGAAGAGGCUGCUAUUAUGAUUACGGUGAUGUGGGCGGUGUCGCACUCCAGAAAUAGAUAUACGCAUGGUGAACAAGUGUAUCAGCCGUCGCAAUCGAUGAUCAUCAUAGAAGAAAUAGUGCGAGCGCUGGAGUUCCCUGUUAGUGUGAAGAAUCAGCCUGUCUGUCCCCCCCGGUGGCUGCCACCAGAUGAGGGUUGGGUCAAGAUCAAUACGGAUGGUGCUACACACUCGGCACGGAUGCGAGGAGGAACGGGUUUUGUUGCACGUGAUCAUCAUGGCUUCUUUCUUAGAGCAGGAGGCUCAAAGUAUGAGGGGAUAAUUGAUCCAUUGACACUUGAACUUCUUGCAUGCAGAGAUGGACUGUCCAUGGCAUAUGAUAUGGGGCUCAAUCAAGUUGAAGUCCAAACAGAUUGCCAGGAGAUUAUACGGCUGUGGGAGUCACCACAGAAAUCGUCAUGUUAUCAUCUCUUGAAAGAGAUUGAAGUACUGAGCUCCUUUUUCCAGGGAUUUAAGCUACGGUUUGCCAACCGGCUUUGUAAUAAGGUGGCUCACCGGGUAGCUAGACUAUCUUUAGAACUUUCUUCUUCUCAGAUUUUGUAUGAGACAAUCCCUGGGUGGUUGGCUGAUUCUUUACAGUCAGACAUGCUAGCGCCAAGUGAAUAA